GUAAAUCCCUCCUUCGAUAGUUAUUUUCAUCUAUAAUAUAUCGAAGACUCUGAUAGUAAUUAAGUUGAGCUUUUUGAUAGUUAUUUCCAUUGUAAUCGCAUAGAUUCUAAUUGUAAGUCAUAUAUUCUCAGCAAUUAGAGGAUUUUUUUUCUUUGAUUCUCUCUCUCAAAUCAAUUGAUCAUACGUCGCUCAAGUCAAUGUCCCAUCUGUUCUUGAAGACAUCAACCAGAG
RNAcentral lists this unclassified non-coding RNA (231 nucleotides) under Hevea brasiliensis (rubber tree). The record is from RNAcentral. Lineage: Eukaryota; Viridiplantae; Streptophyta; Magnoliopsida; Malpighiales; Euphorbiaceae.